Molecule: transfer RNA, 75 nt
Filed under: Vibrio alginolyticus
Lineage: Bacteria; Pseudomonadati; Pseudomonadota; Gammaproteobacteria; Vibrionales; Vibrionaceae
Also listed under: 2 other names
Description: tRNA-Trp
Rfam family: tRNA
About the family: Transfer RNA (tRNA) molecules are approximately 80 nucleotides in length. Their secondary structure includes four short double-helical elements and three loops (D, anti-codon, and T loops). Further hydrogen bonds mediate the characteristic L-shaped molecular structure. tRNAs have two regions of fundamental functional importance: the anti-codon, which is responsible for specific mRNA codon recognition, and the 3' end, to which the tRNAs corresponding amino acid is attached (by aminoacyl-tRNA synthetases). tRNAs cope with the degeneracy of the genetic code in two manners: having more than one tRNA (with a specific anti-codon) for a particular amino acid; and 'wobble' base-pairing, i.e. permitting non-standard base-pairing at the 3rd anti-codon position.
Source: RNAcentral
GGGUGUAGCUCCAAUUGGCAGAGCAGCGGAUUCCAAAUCCGCGUGUUGGGAGUUCGAAUCUCUCCACCCCUGCCA